RNAcentral lists this ribosomal RNA (253 nucleotides) under uncultured bacterium. Its description in RNAcentral is "partial 16S ribosomal RNA". It matches the Rfam family "Bacterial small subunit ribosomal RNA", at positions 524 to 776 of the family's 1533-position model. The record is from RNAcentral.
UACAGGGGGGGCAAGCGUUGUUCGGAAUUACUGGGCGUAAAGGGCUCGUAGGCGGCCAACUAAGUCAGACGUGAAAUCCCUCAGCUUAACUGGGGAACUGCGUCUGAUACUGGAUGGCUUGGAUUUGGGAGAGGGAUGCGGAAUUCCAGGUGUAGCGGUGAAAUGCGUAGAUAUCUGGAGGAACACCGGUGGCGAAGGCGGCAUCCUGGACCAAUAUUGACGCUGAGGAGCGAAAGCCAGGGGAGCAAACGGG